GAGCAAAAGUCUCCUGAUAAUCUACUCCAUAUGUCUGAGUGAAACAUUUAACCACUAACCUAACCUUAUACCUUUCAAUGAAACCAUAUGCCUUAUGUUUAACUGUGAACACCCACUUACAUCUCACUAGUUUCUUGCCCAAUGAAAGAGAAAAAAGCUCCUAUAUUUCAUUUUUUGCCAAAGCUCUCAUCUCCUCUAUCAUAGCUACCUUCUAUUUAGGAUCAUGAUGUACUUUCUUCCAAUCCGAGUCACUCUUAGAAUAAAU
Molecule: unclassified non-coding RNA, 265 nt
Filed under: Hevea brasiliensis (rubber tree)
Lineage: Eukaryota; Viridiplantae; Streptophyta; Magnoliopsida; Malpighiales; Euphorbiaceae
Source: RNAcentral